UUUACACAUGCAAGUCGAACGGUAACAGGGUGCUUGCACCGCUGACGAGUGGCGAACGGGUGAGUAAUGCGUCGGAACGUGCCGAGUAGUGGGGGAUAACGCAGCGAAAGUUGUGCUAAUACCGCAUACGUACUGAGGUAGAAAGUGGGGGACCUUCGGGCCUCACGCUAUUCGAGCGGCCGACGUCUGAUUAGCUAGUAGGUGAGGUAAAGGCUCACCUAGGCGACGAUCAGUAGCGGGUCUGAGAGGAUGAUCCGCCACACUGGGACUGAGACACGGCCCAGACUCCUACGGGAGGCAGCAGUGGGGAAUUUUGGACAAUGGGCGAAAGCCUGAUCCAGCCAUGCCGCGUGUCUGAAGAAGGCCUUCGGGUUGUAAAGGACUUUUGUCAGGGAGGAAAUCCCUAGUGCUAAUAACACUGGGGGAUGACAGUACCUGAAGAAUAAGCACCGGCUAACUACGUGCCAGC
Molecule: ribosomal RNA, 469 nt
Filed under: uncultured bacterium
Lineage: Bacteria
Description: bacterial SSU rRNA
Rfam family: Bacterial small subunit ribosomal RNA
Source: RNAcentral